UGAGAUUCUACUUCAGUUGCC
Molecule: non-coding RNA, 21 nt
Filed under: Arabidopsis thaliana (thale cress)
Lineage: Eukaryota; Viridiplantae; Streptophyta; Magnoliopsida; Brassicales; Brassicaceae
Source: RNAcentral